RNAcentral lists this ribosomal RNA (253 nucleotides) under uncultured bacterium. RNAcentral's name for it is "partial 16S ribosomal RNA". It matches the Rfam family "Bacterial small subunit ribosomal RNA", at positions 524 to 776 of the family's 1533-position model. The record is from RNAcentral.
UACGUAGGCAGCGAGCGUUGUUCGGAAUUACUAGGCGUAAAGAGUGUGUAGGCGGCGCUCUAAGUUCGGUGUGAAAUCUCUCGGCUUAACUGGGAGGGUGCGCCGGAAACUGGAGUGCUCGAACGUGGGAGAGGAAAGCGGAAUUCCUGGUGUAGCGGUGAAAUGCGUAGAUAUCAGGAGGAACACCUGCGGUGUAGACGGCUUUCUGGACCAUUGUUGACGCUGAGACACGAAAGCGUGGGUAGCAAACAGG